RNAcentral lists this ribosomal RNA (1348 nucleotides) under metagenome. Its description in RNAcentral is "bacterial LSU rRNA". It matches the Rfam family "Bacterial large subunit ribosomal RNA", at positions 1564 to 2925 of the family's 2925-position model. The record is from RNAcentral.
UGAGUGCGAGCGGCUACGGCCGCGAAGUGGGUGAUGUCAAGCUUCCAAGAAAAGCCCUAUACCCGUUAAGGCAUGAUGGCCUGUACCCGAAACCGACACAGGUGGGGUGGUAGAGAAUACCGAGGGGCGCGAGGUAACUCUCUCUAAGGAACUCGGCAAAAUGGCCCCGUAACUUCGGGAGAAGGGGUGCCACCGCAAGGUGGUCGCAGUGAAGAGGCCCAGGCGACUUUUUACCAAAAACACAGGUCUCCGCUAAGUCGCAAGACGAUGUAUGGGGGCUGACGCCUGCCCAGUGCCGGAAGGUUAAGGAAGCUGGUCAGCGCAAGCGAAGCUGGCGACUGAAGCCCCGGUGAAUGGCGGCCGUAACGAUAACGGUCCUAAGGUAGCGAAAUUCCUUGUCGGGUAAGUUCCGACCCGCACGAAAGGCGUAACGAUCUGGGCGCUGUCUCGGAGAGAGGCUCGGCGAAAUAGAAUUGUCUGUGAAGAUGCGGACUACGUGCACCCGGACAGAAAGACCCUAUGAAGCUUUACUGUAGCUUGGUAUUGUGCCCGGGCUCUGAAUGCGCAGGAUAGGUGGGAGGCUUUGAUCCAUGGCUUGCGGGUCAUGGUGAGCCAACGGUGAGAUACCACUCUUUCAGAGCUAGGGUUCUAACGGUCACCCGUCAUCCGGGGACCGGACAGUAUCAGGUGGGCAGUUUGACUGGGGCGGUCGCCUCCUAAAAGGUAACGGAGGCGCGCAAAGGUUUGCUCAGGCUGGUUGAAAUCAGCCGACGAGUGCAAAGGCAGAAGCAAGCUUGACUGUGAGACCUACAAGUCGAACAGGGACGAAAGUCGGCUUUAGUGAUCCGACGGUUCUGAGUGGAAGGGCCGUCGCUCAACGGAUAAAAGUUACUCUAGGAUAACAGGCUGAUCUCCCCCAAGAGUUCACAUCGACGGGGAGGUUUGGCACCUCGAUGUCGGCUCAUCGCAACCUGGGGCUGAAGUCGGUCCCAAGGGUUGGGCUGUUCGCCCAUUAAAGCGGUACGCGAGCUGGGUUCAGAACGUCGUGAGACAGUUCGGUCCAUAUCCGGUGCACGCGCAGGAACAUUGAGAGGAUUUCUCCCUAGUACGAGAGGACCGGGAGGAACGCACCUCUGGUGUGCCAGUUAUCGUGCCAACGGUAAACGCUGGGUAGCCAUGUGCGGAGUGGAUAACCGCUGAAACCAUCUAAGUGGGAAGCCCACCUCAAGAUGAGUGUUCCCAUGGCAUAAGCCAGUAAGGUCACGGGAAGAACACCCGUUGAUAGGCUCUACGUGGAAGCCGGGUAACCGGUGAAGCGGAGGAGUACUAAUAGACCGAGGGUUUGACC